RNAcentral lists this ribosomal RNA (497 nucleotides) under uncultured bacterium. RNAcentral's name for it is "partial 16S ribosomal RNA". It matches the Rfam family "Bacterial small subunit ribosomal RNA", at positions 28 to 507 of the family's 1533-position model. The record is from RNAcentral.
GAUGAACGCUGGCGGCGUGCCUAAUACAUGCAAGUCGAGCGAACGGACGAGAAGCUUGCUUCUCUGAUGUUAGCGGCGGACGGGUGAGUAACACGUGGAUAACCUACCUAUAAGACUGGGAUAACUUCGGGAAACCGGAGCCAAUACCGGAUGAUAUUUUGAACCGCAUGGUUCAGAAGUGAAAGACGGUCUUGCUGUCACUUAUAGAUGGAUCCGCGCUGCAUUAGCUAGUUGGUAAGGUAACGGCUUACCAAGGCAACGAUGCAUAGCCGACCUGAGAGGGUGAUCGGCCACACUGGAACUGAGACACGGUCCAGACUCCUACGGGAGGCAGCAGUAGGGAAUCUUCCGCAAUGGGCGAAAGCCUGACGGAGCAACGCCGCGUGAGUGAUGAAGGUCUUCGGAUCGUAAAACUCUGUUAUUAGGGAAGAACAUAUGUGUAAGUAACUGUGCACAUCUUGACGGUACCUAAUCAGAAAGCCACGGCUAACUACGUG